This 5569-nucleotide long non-coding RNA is filed under the name Nicotiana tabacum (common tobacco). RNAcentral describes it as "long non-coding RNA (NTAB_LNC013514)". Lineage: Eukaryota; Viridiplantae; Streptophyta; Magnoliopsida; Solanales; Solanaceae. The record is from RNAcentral.
CUUGCAAGUUUCACCGCAUUUUAUAUUACGUUAUUUGUACGGUAUAGGUUUAAUCGAGAGAGGCACCUGAGUAAGAAUAAUAGGAUAAUAACCUAUUGAAUUCGAGAGAAUCAAUAGAACAUUAAUAGUGAAAUUAAACUGUGUCAAUUAUAGGAUAACAAUCUUGCACUUAUCAUGGCAUGACCCUUAUUUCUCACAUUGUGUCACGACCCAAAACUUGACCCGUCGUGAUGGCGCCUAUUGUGGAACUAGGCCAGCCUCAACUCAAUAAUCCAACACUGCAAAAAGUAUUUUUGAACAAUAAACAUAGAAGCGACAAUUCAUUAAGGAACAUUUUUGAAAACAAAAUAAAAUCCAAAUUACGAUACAACUGCCUAAAACCGGGGUGUCACUGAGUGCAUGAGUAUCUAGAGGAGAACAUAGUCUAUUACAAUGUCUAAAGAAACAAACUGAAAUACAUCUAGAGAUAAAGAUGGAGAGUCAAGGCCUACGAAUGCCGUGCAAAUACCUCGUUAGUCUCCUAAAGCCUGAAGCCUCGAUCAGCGACUGCCACUGGGACCAAAAGUACCUGAAUCUGCACACAAGGUGCAGGGGGUAACGUGAGUACACCAACUCAGUAAGUAACGAGUCCAAACUAUAGACUGAGAGGUAGUGACGAACUCAACCGCAACAAAAAAUAAUAGAAAUAAAUGUGCAGAAACGUAGGCAUGCUUUCAAUAAAUAGGCAGCUAAAACAGUAAAAUGGAGCAGAUACGAACAAGGUAAAGAAUACAGCUUUGCUACAUCUACAUGCCAAUGCACAUGCUGUAUGUGAUGUACCAUGUCGAAUAUCUCAUGUGCUCACACUCUCAAAUGCUCCUCCACUCAGUACUGCAUAUGGUUCAUACGGCCUAGGGAAGAUCCAUCCCGGAUUAUACACAUCUCUGACAGCAGUCAAUCAGUACUAAGGAAGGCCAAUGCAGCCCUAUGGAGAAGAUCCAUCUCCAGGUAAUAAUAAUAAUAAUCUCACAACCACUCGGUACUAUAUAUGGCUCACACGGCCUAGGGAAUAUCUAUCCCGGAAUAUACACAUCACUGACCAUCAGUCUCUAGUACCGAGGACAUAAGCCAUUCCGACCUCAUGAAGAAGAUCCAUCUCCAAAUAAUAAUAUCAACUGAGCUUACUGGGAGUGUGUAUAGACUCCGGAGGGACUCCUUCAUCCCAAGAGCUAUCACAAGUUAAUAUAACCGCUGCGACAUACAGCCCGAUCCUAUAACUUUCACUUAUAAUCAAACUCUCAGCCUCACUCAGUCAUCACUCUCCAGUCUCACCCACAACUCACAAUGCCAUGAAAAUCUAGCCCGAAACAAUGAUAUGAUGUGCCAAUAAAUAACAACUGAGACUGAGAUAUGAUAUGAAAUACAUGAAUAUGACUGAGUACAGAAUAUUAAUGAAUCAAUAAGAUGACAGCAAGAAAUGACCAUUAGGGGUCUCAAUAGUAUCGGCGUGAAGCCCUAACAUGAUAUCUUGCAUAUUUUACAGCUCAAUUACUUUAUCACAUAAUGGAAGCAUGGAUGUCAACAAGAAAAAGUCAUUAAAUGGUGUCAUGGAAUGAACCAGGUCCCGAUUCUCACGGUGCAUGCCCGUCACUUGGAAUGUGCGUCAUAUCAAUAAUAUUCACAUAACACGUAGUUCGGGGUUUAGAACCCUCAAAACUAAGUUUGAAAGCAUUACUUACCUCAAACCGAGUAAAAUGCUACUCCGCAAUGCUCUUGCCUCUCAACUCGGCCUCCAAACGUCCCGAAUCUAGCCAUAAGCAAUACAAUAUGAUCAAUAUAGGCUAAAGGAACCAUUUUCACAAGAAAAACUACUAAAUUAGACUCAAAAUCCGAAAUCGGCUCAAACCCGACCCCCGGGCCCAUGUCUCGAAAUCCGACAAAUGUCACAAAACCCGAAAAACCAUUCACUCAUGAGUCUAAUCAUACCAAAUUCAUCAAAAUCCGAUUUUCACUUCAAAAUCUCACUAAUUAAGUGGGAAAUCAACGGGAAAAUACCAUUUCUAAGGAUAGUUAGACUAAAGAAACUUACCUUAGUGAUAAACCUCGAAUUCCCCUUAAAAUUCUCUUCAAAAUCUCCAAAUUUCGUGCUAAAAAAUGUGAAAAUGAGAAGAAUUACCGAAGUCCUCUAUUUAUACCUUCUGCCUAGCAAAAUCGCAUAUGCGGCUCAUUUAGCGCAUAUGCGAAACCGCUUUUGCGAACAAAGUUCCGCUUCUGCAGAAAAUUAUUAAAAUCUAAUCUCCGCUUCUGUGAUCCGCUGAGCACAUCUGCGAUCAUCGCAGGUGCAGAAAUACCAUCACACCUGCGGUCCAAACACGCACAUGCGCCCCAUAAUCUGCUUCUAUGUCCAUUGCAGGUGCGGGAACUUCAUCGCACCUGCACCUUUUGCCCAUCUCCUCCAAUCUCGCAUCUGUGAUCUCCUACUCGCUUCUACGGCCUCGCACCUGCGAUGAGACAUCCGCAGGUGCGAUUAUAACAGCUGAGUUCAACUUCAGCAGUCCUCCAAUUUCCAAACUUGUUCCAUUAAUCAUCCGAAAUCAACCUGAGGCCCUCGGGACCUCAACCAUACAUACGAACAUAUUCCACAAUAUCAUAUGAACUUAGUCAAAACAUCAAAUGACCUCAAACAACAUCAUAAACACAAAUUACACACGAAUUCAAGCAUAAUGAACUUCGAAACAUCCAAAUUCAACAAACAGCGCCAAAAUCUAUCAAAUCACAUUCGAAUGACCUCAAAUUUUUGCACAAGUUAAAAAUGAUACCACGAACCUACUCCAACUUCCAGAAAUCUAAUCCGACGCCGAUAUCAAAUUUUUCAUUGCCGACCAAAAUCGCCAAAAUUUCAACUUUCGUCUAUUCAAGCCUAAUUCCACUAAAGGCCUCCAAAUCACUUUUCGGAUGUGCUCCUAAGUACUAACGGAGCUAACAAAACCAUCAAAAUCAAAUCCGAGGUCAUUUGCACAUAACUCAAAAUCCAAUCAACUUUCCCAACCUAAACCUUCUCACAAGAUACUAAGUGUCUCAACUCACUCUAAAAUUACUUCGGACCCGAACCAACUAACCCGGUAAGUCAAAAUACAGCUGAAGAAUACAAAAGAAGCAGGAAAUAGGGGGAAUAGGGCUAUAACUCUUCGAACGACCGGUCGGAUCGUUACACAUUGAUACCAACCUAAUUCUGCUAGUCUCUAAUUCUUUGCCUUGUCAAUUGUUUUACUUUUAGUAGUUAAUUGUAGUUAAUACUCAUCCCAAAUUAAAGUGUUGAACAUCCUGAAUAAUAUUUAACCCAGAAAUUACUUGAAUAUUGUUUAAAUCAAUCCUCGUGGAGACGAUAUUUUACUAUACGCUCUUUGACUAACUGUCACACCUCCUUUUUCCCGAGGGGAUAUGAGUUUUUCCAAUUAAAGUGACAUUAAUCGAACUGAGAUUAUUUAUUUUAUUCAGAGUCGCCACUUGGGAUAAUUUAUAGUGUCCCAAGUCACCGGUUUAUUUUAAAUCCCAAAUCGAGGAAGAUUGACUCUGUUUUAAGUCUGCGAAACCAGAAGACCGGGUAAGGAAUUCUGUUAACCCAGGAGAAGGUGUUAGACACUCCCGAAUUCCGUGGUUUUAGCACGAUCACUUAAUAAUUUAUACUUGGCUUAAAUUAUUUAAUUACGUGUUUUAGAACCUACAUGCAUUUUACCUUUACCGCUUUUAAUUACUCGAUUACUCGUACUUAAAGAAUUAUCAAGUUACGCGUACGUAUACUCGUGUGGUUUAGCAUGUCAAGAGUCAUGUCACGCGUACAUGUAUACAAUUCACAACACUUAGUUUAUUUAAGAAAAAGCUUGGUCAAAGUGCGCGAAUGCGUACCUUGAUUUAUUUUAAAAAUUAUAAUUAUGUCACGCGAACGUGUAUACAGUCACGAUGAUUGAUUUUUUAAGAUCGUACCUGAAAGCAUACUAUCGAUUUGGUUUUGAGGUAACUAUAUGGAAGCAUGAUUUUCAUUACUCAACAGUGUUCAUGUGACACAUUUCAUUUUUAAGCAUUACUGCGUUUGAACCCGGAGUCAUUCUAAUAUAGGCUUCUCAUUUUUGUGAAAUUGAUUAAACUAACAAUGCAAAGAAAUAUUCACGCUUUAAAUAUUUAUGAAAAUAACUUCUUUAUAAAAAAAAAAAACUAAACAUCUAAAGAAAAGCUGAUGAAAGCAGAAGCUCAAUUCUUUUACAGAUUAAAGAAAAAAAAAUCAUGCUCUCGCCAAAGAAUUCAACAAAACGGGAAGAUAACUAACAAAUCUAUACAAACUAUAAAUUAAAAAGGAAACAUACUCAAAUAUUUAAUGGAUGUGUUACAAUUUAAACAAACCUACUUAACAUUAGAUUUAUUAUUAUCUAGAAACAUUUAUACAAACAACAACAAUCACCCAGUAAAAUUUCACUAAUAGGAUCCGGAAACAAUUAUACAAAGAAAAAUAUGUAAAUUCCAGCCAUAUUCAUUAUCGGAACUUAAUAUAAAAUAAUAAUUUUAUUUAGUUAUCAUAUUGUUCUAUGUGAGUAUCUUGUCGUAAUUUGAUAUAGAUAUCUAUAUGAACAUGAAUCUGAUUUAACUAUUAAAGAACAAAUAUUUCAGCAACUCAAAUAACAAACUAAGACAUACUCCAACAAGUUUUAUCAAUCACGUUACUUAACACCAAAAAUAUAAAUGAAACUUAAAAAAAUAAACAGAAAUAUAACAAAGUAAAAAAAAAAUCUUUAAGCACCUAUCCUAAUAAAAAUGGAAAGAGAGAGCAAAAAAAAAAAAUGUCUUAGUUAUUAUUUUACUAAAGCCGCAAACAAUCAAGCGAUGUACAUUAGAUCAAAACGAAAUUUUUUAUUGUCAUCGAAAUCUAAAAAUUAAAGAUUAAAAUAAACUCAUCCAAGAAUCUAGUAAUUACCUAUGAACACCAUAAAAGGCGUACCUUUUUUUUAAAAUGAUUUUCUUUCAAACUUUAAUUCAUACUAAACAAUAUUAAGAAUGCUGAAAUCGAACCAUGACUAAAACUCAUAAAAUCUAAUGAUCAUAUAAACGACAAAGGAAAUUGAAACAAGAAUUCAAUAAGAACACUUCUAUAUUUCAAGAAUAAAUACAGAAAAGAUAAAAGAUAAGAAAAGAACCUUUAGAAACUUUCCAAUAUUGAAACAUAAAUUCCAGCAAUUAUGAUAUAUGAGCGAGAAUUGUAACCACGAACCGGAUCUUGAAACUAGAUAGAACUUUCCUUCAAAUAAAAUUAUUCCUCCUUUAAAAUCAAUGAGGUUUCUGUGCAUGUAAUCUCUUUCUCUUUGGUUAUAUUGCCGAAUCCGCACCCCCCCCCCCUUUUUUGCUCCGUCUCUGUUGUCUCUUUAUAGAGAAGAAUAUUAGUAGUUUUGUUCCUAGAAUUUGGAGUGGGGAACGUGGGUUUUGAAGUGGAGUUGAGGAAUUGGGUUUGUGUGCAAGAGUGAAAGAUCACGAGUGGGGGGAGUUAAUUAUCUGAUGGGUUUGGAAAGAGGGGAUCAUGGGGUGAUUGAGGGAAGAGAUUAGA